Molecule: ribosomal RNA, 932 nt
Filed under: Tetraclitella divisa
Lineage: Eukaryota; Metazoa; Arthropoda; Thecostraca; Balanomorpha; Tetraclitidae
Description: partial 16S ribosomal RNA
Rfam family: Archaeal large subunit ribosomal RNA (bases 418-655)
Source: RNAcentral
UUUUAUUUCGAAAGUAAAAGAUCUAAAUGGUUUUGUUGUUUUUUGUGUCAAAAAAAUUUUUUAAAGUCAUUUAGUUGUAAAAUGUUAAUCGUUUUUACUAAUAUCUAAUAACUUUAUAAAAAAAUUUAGUUUAAAUUGUUGAGGAUUUCUUUAUUUUUAAGAUGGUUUAUAUACAUGGGUAUAUUUUAGGGGAUGAGCUCUAAAAUAAAAUUAUAAGAAUAAAUUAUUUAAAAUUUUUAGUAGGUUUAGAAUUGGCCAUAAGAUAGUGUUAUAAGAUAAAAAAUAAAGUUUAAAAUUUAUUUUUCUUUUAUUUAUAUAAAGUUAAUUAUUAAAUAGGGAAUAUUUUGAAAAUAUGAUAGUAUUAGUAGAUAAAAAUAUAGUGAAAUUUUUUUGAAUUUUUCAAUAUAUAAGAAAGAACAUAAGUAAAAUAAAAGAACUCGGCAAACAAGAUUUCCGAAUGUUUAACAAAAACAUUUCCUCUUAAAUAAGGGAGGUAAGGCCUGCUCACUGAAAUUUAAAGAGCCGCAGUAUUCUGACUGUGCUAAGGUAGCAUAAUCAUUAGUCUUUUAAUUGGAGACUGGUAUGAAUGGCUAAACGAGAAAUCAACUUUUUUUAUUUUAAUAAUUGAAUUUAAUUUUUUAGUGAAAAAGCUAAAAUUGUUUAGAAAGACGAGAAGACCCUAUAGAGUUUUAUAUUUUUUUUGAAUUUUUUUUAAAAUUGAUUAGAAAAGUAAAAUUUGAAAAAAAUAUUUUGUUGGGGCGACGUUAAGAUAAGAAAAACUCUUUAUAAAAAAAAUUUUUAUGAAAAAUUUGUUUGAUCCUUUAGAAAAGAUUAAAAGAAAAAAUUACCUUAGGGAUAACAGCGUAAUCUUUUUGGAGAGUUCUAAUCGAUAAAAAGGUUUGCGACCUCGAUGUUGGACUAAAAUUUAAACA